UGCAAGUCGAGCGGACAGAUGGGAGCUUGCUCCCUGAUGUUAGCGGCGGACGGGUGAGUAACACGUGGGUAACCUGCCUGUAAGACUGGGAUAACUCCGGGAAACCGGGGCUAAUACCGGAUGCUUGUUUGAACCGCAUGGUUCAAACAUAAAAGGUGGCUUCGGCUACCACUUACAGAUGGACCCGCGGCGCAUUAGCUAGUUGGUGAGGUAACGGCUCACCAAGGCAACGAUGCGUAGCCGACCUGAGAGGGUGAUCGGCCACACUGGGACUGAGACACGGCCCAGACUCCUACGGGAGGCAGCAGUAGGGAAUCUUCCGCAAUGGACGAAAGUCUGACGGAGCAACGCCGCGUGAGUGAUGAAGGUUUUCGGAUCGUAAAGCUCUGUUGUUAGGGAAGAACAAGUACCGUUCGAAUAGGGCGGUACCUUGACGGUACCUAACCAGAAAGCCACGGCUAACUACGUGCCAGCAGCCGCGGUAAUACGUAGGUGGCAAGCGUUGUCCGGAAUUAUUGGGCGUAGAGGGCUCGCAGGCGGUUUCUUAAGUCUGAUGUGAAAGCCCCCGGCUCAACCGGGGAGGGUCAUUGGAAACUGGGGAACUUGAGUGCAGAAGAGGAGAGUGGAAUUCCACGUGUAGCGGUGAAAUGCGUAGAGAUGUGGAGGAACACCAGUGGCGAAGGCGA
Molecule: ribosomal RNA, 686 nt
Filed under: Bacillus sp. CSu2_8
Lineage: Bacteria; Bacillati; Bacillota; Bacilli; Caryophanales; Bacillaceae
Description: bacterial SSU rRNA
Rfam family: Bacterial small subunit ribosomal RNA
Source: RNAcentral